Long non-coding RNA from Bos taurus (domestic cattle), 1488 nucleotides. The record is from Ensembl. NCBI's taxonomy places the organism in Eukaryota, Metazoa, Chordata, Mammalia, Artiodactyla, Bovidae.
CACACACACACACACACACACAAAGUAAACACAUACAAACACCCCCCCCACACACACACACCCCGUCACCGCAACUACCACACCAGUUAAAUAGAUUAUGCUACAUUUGCCUACAAAUGUCCACAUAAAAUGCAUCCUCGUUUCCUGUGGUUGGCAGUCAGGGUUGCUCCCAGCAUGUUGGCCCUGAUUAAUGUGUGGGAUAUGUGGGUUUGGGGCACUAAAAUAUACACAAGUUUUCAGUGAGGGGCCACACUAUGCUCUCGUCAACAGCCCUUGCUCAUUCUGUUUGUUUCUCACAACAUAAAAUAAACUGCCUGUCAUGUAUAUUUUGAGUAAACUGAGAAGUUUCUUAAGUACAUGUAUGGCAAACCAACUCAUAAAUAUUGGGCUAGCAAAAAAUUCAUUCGAGUUUUUCCAUAACGCAAAUGAAAUUUUUGGUCAAUCCAAUAGAUAACUGAGGAGCUUUUGUUCCAUAGGUAAAUGUGCUUAGACAAUUACCUUACCUUAUUACAUCAUUCAAGUCUGGCAUUGGUUGGCUUUAUCAUCUUUAUAACUACCUGAUAAAGAUAAAAUUCACAUACUAUAUAAUUCAUGCAUUUCAAAUGUUCAAUUCAAUAGUUUUUAGUAUGUUCAUGGAGUUUUGUAACCAUCACUACAACCAUUUUAGAGCGUUUUUGUCACCUCCAAAAGAAACCUCGUAAAUAUUAAUAGUCACUCUCCAUUGUCUCCCACACAGUCCUAGGGAAGCAACAAUCUACUUUCUGGAUUUGCCUAUUCUGGACAUUUCAAAAUAAAUGAAAUCAUACAACGUGACUUUUUGUGUCUGGCUUCUCUCACUUAGAUUGAUAUUUUCAAGGUUCAUCCAUGCUGUAGCAUGGAACAGUACUUCAUUCUUUUUAUUGCGGACUAAUAUUCCAUUAUGUGGGUAUAUCAACUUUUAUUUACUCAUUCAUUAGUUAAUGGACAUUUUGAUUGCUUCUACUUUUUGACCACUAUGAAUAAUGUUGCUAUAAACCUUCAUAUACAAGUUUGUAUAUGUAUACACAUUUCACUGCUCUUGGGUAGAUAUCUAGAUGUGGAACUGAUGAGUCAUAUGGUAAUUUUAUAUUUAACGUUUUGAGGAACUGCCAGACUGUUUUCCAAGUGGCAGUACCAUUUUACAUUCCCACCAGCAGGGUAUGAGGGUUCCAAUUUUCCCAUCUUCUUACCAACACUUGUUAUUAUCUGUCAUUUUGACUAUUAUCAUCCUAGAAGUUAUAAGAUGGUUCAUCCCUGUGGUUUUGAUUUGCAUUUCUCUGAUGGCUAAUGAUUUUGAGCAUGUCUUCAUGUCCUUAUUGGCCAACUGUAUGCAUGUUACAUAUGCUUACUGGCCAUUUGGAGGUAAAUGGGGUGGAGGUAUAUGAUGAAAUUCAACAGAAUUGUGAAGGAAUCAGAUAUAGGAAUGUAUCCUAUAGUUCUUUCCUUUUUUUUUAAAUUUCUGUUAACACA